This 450-nucleotide ribosomal RNA is filed under the name uncultured bacterium. RNAcentral describes it as "partial 16S ribosomal RNA". It matches the Rfam family "Bacterial small subunit ribosomal RNA", at positions 354 to 796 of the family's 1533-position model. The record is from RNAcentral.
GUGGGGAAUAUUGGACAAUGGGCGAAAGCCUGAUCCAGCCAUGCCGCGUGUGUGAAGAAGGUCUUCGGAUUGUAAAGCACUUUAAGUUGGGAGGAAGGGCAGUAAGUUAAUACCUUGCUGUUUUGACGUUACCGACAGAAUAAGCACCGGCUAACUUCGUGCCAGCAGCCGCGGUAAUACGAAGGGUGCAAGCGUUAAUCGGAAUUACUGGGCGUAAAGCGCGCGUAGGUGGGUUUGUAAGUUGGAGGUGAAAUCCCCGGGCUCAACCUGGGAAGUGCCUCGAAAACUGCAUGACUAGAGUAUGGUAGAGGGUAGGGGAAUUUCCUGUGUAGCGGUGAAAUGCGUAGAUAUAGGAAGGAACACCAGUGGCGAAGGCGACUACCUGGACUGAUACUGACACUGAGGUGCGAAAGCGUGGGGAGCAAACAGGAUUAGAAACCCCGGUAGUCC